AAUAACCUUUGAAUUUAAAAAUGAAGACAUUGAUUAUUGGCAAGACAUAAACGAUGAAGGACCUUAUUUUCAUAUUGAUGUUAAGAAAAUAUUUGAAAAAUUAACUCAGUUAAUUCGAAUAUUAAAGCCGGGUAAUACUUUAAUUUUUUUUCUUUUGUGUAAUUGGAAAUUGUCAAGAAGAAUGACAAAAUUACCUUAUUGCAGCCGGUGGAACUCCUCUACAUGGUAACUUUUACAGCAC
RNAcentral lists this long non-coding RNA (241 nucleotides) under Medicago truncatula (barrel medic). RNAcentral describes it as "long non-coding RNA (MTRU_LNC004533)". Lineage: Eukaryota; Viridiplantae; Streptophyta; Magnoliopsida; Fabales; Fabaceae. The record is from RNAcentral.